UACGUAGGGCGCAAGCGUUAUCCGGAAUUAUUGGGCGUAAAGAGCUCGUAGGCGGUUUGUCGCGUCUGCCGUGAAAGUCCGGGGCUCAACUCCGGAUCUGCGGUGGGUACGGGCAGACUAGAGUGAUGUAGGGGAGACUGGAAUUCCUGGUGUAGCGGUGAAAUGCGCAGAUAUCAGGAGGAACACCGAUGGCGAAGGCAGGUCUCUGGGCAUUAACUGACGCUGAGGAGCGAAAGCAUGGGGAGCGAUCCGG
Molecule: ribosomal RNA, 253 nt
Filed under: uncultured bacterium
Lineage: Bacteria
Description: partial 16S ribosomal RNA
Rfam family: Bacterial small subunit ribosomal RNA
Source: RNAcentral